This 389-nucleotide ribosomal RNA is filed under the name uncultured bacterium. Its description in RNAcentral is "bacterial SSU rRNA". It matches the Rfam family "Bacterial small subunit ribosomal RNA", at positions 119 to 507 of the family's 1533-position model. The record is from RNAcentral.
GAGCAACUUGCCCGUUUCUGGGGGAUAACCGGUGGAAACGCCGACUAAUACCCCAUGGUGAUGUUAGGGGGGCAUCUCCUUACAUCUAAAGAAUAUCGGAAACGGAUAGGCUCGCGUGACAUUAGCUAGAUGGCGGGGUAACGGCCCACCAUGGCGACGAUGUCUAGGGGUUCUGAGAGGAAGGUCCCCCACACUGGAACUGAGACACGGUCCAGACUCCUACGGGAGGCAGCAGUGAGGAAUAUUGGUCAAUGGUCGGAAGACUGAACCAGCCAUGCCGCGUGAAGGUGACGGCCCUAUGGGUCUUAAACUUCUUUUGUAAGGGAGCAAUAAGGUUUACGUGUAGGCCGAUGAGAGUACCUUACGAAUAAGCAUCGGCUAACUCCGUG